UUCUCCGACUCCCUUUCCAGCUGUGGAGAUCUCUGAAUUCUGCCAGAACCAUUCCUGUCCUGUGAAUUACUGCUAUAACCAUGGCCAUUGCGACAUCUCUGGGCCUCCAGACUGCCAGCCCACUUGCACCUGCGCCCCUGCCUUCACUGGUAACCGCUGCUUCCUGGCCGGGAACAAUUUCACUCCCAUCAUCUAUAAAGAGCUUCCCUUGAGGACCAUCACGCUCUCUCUCAGGGAGGACGAAAACGCCUCUAACGCUGACGUCAAUGCCUCGGUCAGUGCUGGGCUCCUGGUGGGAAGCGGAUCUUGAAAGGGUCCCACAGGGACUGUGCUGUAGUUUGCACAUCCUUCAGCAACCUUAAUUUCCCAAAGGGGCAGCCUCUUGCCCAGGGGAGGUUCAAGGUUCUGAGAUGUCAGGAAGCUUCAGGGUUAGAGAGU
This 438-nucleotide long non-coding RNA is filed under the name Rattus norvegicus (Norway rat). RNAcentral describes it as "long non-coding RNA NONRATT007072". Lineage: Eukaryota; Metazoa; Chordata; Mammalia; Rodentia; Muridae. The record is from RNAcentral.